This 449-nucleotide ribosomal RNA is filed under the name uncultured bacterium. Its description in RNAcentral is "partial 16S ribosomal RNA". It matches the Rfam family "Bacterial small subunit ribosomal RNA", at positions 29 to 523 of the family's 1533-position model. The record is from RNAcentral.
AACGAACGCUGGCGGCAUGCCUAACACAUGCAAGUCGAACGAGAUCUUCGGGUCUAGUGGCGCACGGGUGCGUAACGCGUGGGAAUCUGCCCUUUGGUUCGGAAUAACAGUUGGAAACGACUGCUGAUACCGGAUGAUGGCGAAAGUCCAAAGAUUUAUCGCCAGAGGAUGAGCCUGCGUAGGAUUAGCUAGUUGGUGUGGUAAAGGCGCACCAAGGCGACGAUCCUUAACUGGUCUGGGAGGAUGAUCAGCGACACUGGGACUGAGACACGGCCCAGACGCCUACGGGAGGCAGCAGUGGGGAAUAUUGGACAAUGGGCGAAAGCCUGAUCCAGCAAUGCCGCGUGAGGGAGGAAGGCCUUAGGGUUGUAAAGCUCUUUUACCCGGGAUGAUAAUGACAGUACCGGGAGAAUAAGCUCCGGCUAACUCCGUGCCAGCCGCCGCCGUAA